GAUGAACGCUGGCGGCGUGCUUAACACAUGCAAGUCGAACGAAGCAUUUGCAACAGAUUUUUUCGGAAUGAAGUUGCUUAUGACUGAGUGGCGGACGGGUGAUUAACGCGUGGGUAAGCUGCCUUGUACUGGGGGAGAGCAGCUGGAGACAGGUGGUAAUACCGCAUAAGCGCACAAUGUUGCAUGAGAUGGUGGGGAAAAGUCCGGCGGUAUAAGAUGGAGCCGCGUCGGAUUAGCUAGUUGGUGAGAUAACAGCCCACCAAGGCGACGAUCAGUAGCCGACCGGAGAGCGUGCCCGGCCACAUUGGGACUGCGACACGGCCCCGACUCCUACGGGAGGCAGCAGUGGGGAAUAUUGCACAAUGAAGGAUACUCUGAUGCAGCGACGCCGCGUGAGUGGAGAAGUGAUUCGUAAUGUAAAGCUCUAUCAGCAGGGAAGAUAGUGACGGUACCUGAUUAAGAAGCACCGGCUAACUACGUG
This 481-nucleotide ribosomal RNA is filed under the name uncultured bacterium. RNAcentral describes it as "partial 16S ribosomal RNA". It matches the Rfam family "Bacterial small subunit ribosomal RNA", at positions 28 to 507 of the family's 1533-position model. The record is from RNAcentral.